GCUUAUUGUUGGUGGAAGUGAUGCGUUUGCUCGGUUGUAUGAUAGGAGAAUGCUACCUCCAUUAUCCUCGAGUCAGAAAAAGCUUCCACCUCCACCUUGUGUCAGCUACUUCUGCCCAAUGCAUCUUUCUGAUCGUGGACGUUCUAACUUGCAUAUGACCCACGUCACAUUUAGUCCCAAUGGUGAAGAGGUUUUGCUUAGCUAUAGUGGAGAACAUGUGUACUUGAUGGAUGUGAAUCCUGCACAUGGAAAUUCUAUCUCAUAUACCUCUGGAGAUGUGUCAAACCUGAUGAAUUUUGCUCCCUCGGUCAAUGGAAUCGAAUUACAAUCAUCAGUUAGUGGAAUCUUCUUAAAUGGUUCUUCAUCAAAAAGAAUUCCAGCUUCCAAGCUAGAAAAAUGCAAAAGAUUGAUUCAGGUGGCACUGAAUUCUUUGAAAGAGGACUCCAACUAUUAUUAUGGGAUAGAAGCUUGUAAUGAAGUCUUAGACGGUUGCAGGGAUGAGAUUGGUCCCCUUCUAUCCUUUGAAUGCUUAUGCACUCGUGCAGCAAUAUUGCUGAAGAGGAAGUGGAAAAAUGAUGCACAUAUGGCUAUAAGAGACUGUCAUAGAGC
RNAcentral lists this unclassified non-coding RNA (609 nucleotides) under Hevea brasiliensis (rubber tree). The record is from RNAcentral. Lineage: Eukaryota; Viridiplantae; Streptophyta; Magnoliopsida; Malpighiales; Euphorbiaceae.